AACGCAUAUUGCGCCCUUUGGUAUUCCGAAGGGCAUGCCUGUCCGAGCGUCAUUACACCUCUCAAAUCUCCGGGUUUGAUGUUGGGCGACGCCCGCUACGGGGGCCAGCCUUAAAGCGAAUGGCGGUUUCCAACCAACCUCGAGCGUACAAGUAUCGCUGACGGUGGACGGUUGGGGGCCUGCCCUCCAGCAUAAGCUUCUCAAUGUUGACCUCGGAUCAGGUAGGGAUACCCGCUGAACUUAA
RNAcentral lists this unclassified non-coding RNA (244 nucleotides) under uncultured Ascomycota. RNAcentral's name for it is "sequence contains ITS2". The stretch from base 1 to 52 matches the Rfam family "5.8S ribosomal RNA", at positions 103 to 154 of the family's 154-position model. Lineage: Eukaryota; Fungi; Ascomycota. The record is from RNAcentral.